GGAGGAGUGUCCGAGUGGCCGAUGGAGCACGCUUGGAAAGCGUGUAAACAUGAAAAUGUUUCGUGGGUUCGAAUCCCACCUCCUCCGCCA
Molecule: transfer RNA, 90 nt
Filed under: Rhabdochlamydiaceae bacterium
Lineage: Bacteria; Pseudomonadati; Chlamydiota; Chlamydiia; Parachlamydiales; Candidatus Rhabdochlamydiaceae
Description: tRNA-Ser
Rfam family: tRNA
About the family: Transfer RNA (tRNA) molecules are approximately 80 nucleotides in length. Their secondary structure includes four short double-helical elements and three loops (D, anti-codon, and T loops). Further hydrogen bonds mediate the characteristic L-shaped molecular structure. tRNAs have two regions of fundamental functional importance: the anti-codon, which is responsible for specific mRNA codon recognition, and the 3' end, to which the tRNAs corresponding amino acid is attached (by aminoacyl-tRNA synthetases). tRNAs cope with the degeneracy of the genetic code in two manners: having more than one tRNA (with a specific anti-codon) for a particular amino acid; and 'wobble' base-pairing, i.e. permitting non-standard base-pairing at the 3rd anti-codon position.
Source: RNAcentral